GUCUAUUAUUUAUUUAAUUAUUUAAUGCUCAUUUUGAGCGACGCAGACCCAAUUAGGGCCCGCGCUCUACUAGACAACUCCCGGCAACAUCCAACGGCCCACACAGUGUGCCAUCUUCCCAAUUUCCCUCACAUGGCUUGGGUUAACCCGGGGCUAUGGUAACAUUCACUCGCCCAUGUUGAAUCGCCGUCAAGAGGAAUCGAACCCCGGUCUCCCGCACAGAGUACGAGAGCUAUAACCACUAAUCUACGGCGCCAUAUAGAUAGCAUAUUUCUCCCAUUCUAAUAUUAAGAGCCAUUAUUUUAUGAGCCUUUCUGAUUUUGAGUGUUGUUUUUUUUCUCUUACUAACCAGGCUACUUAAAUUUUACAUGUAUAUAAUAUAGAUAUUAUAGGUAUAAUAUUUUUCCCUCUCCUUUUAGCCAAUCAUGUUCAAUAUACUUUUUUGGCUAAAGACUUUGUACUUUUUUUUUAAAGAGUAUUCUUACACUUUACUUUAAGAUCUGUUGAAAAACUAAAUAAUACUUCAACUAGACAAGUGGUAUAGUAAUAUAAUUUGUGUUAUAGGAUAGUACAUGGGUAACAAUGCCACCAAAAAGGUCUCGAAAGCAAGCAUGCCCAAAUCCACUGUUUGUUAUGUGGUUGGAAGAGUGGAAGAAUGAAGCUGAAGAGAAAGGCUUGAAUUCUAAAUGGACAUAUGCCAAAGUAACUUUUUUAUUUGCUCCUUGGGCUUUGCGUUUCACAGUACAACAUCAAAACCAGUCAGCUAUUGCUUCUAUUAAAAAAUAUCCUCUUCCACUUCGUACUGGUAAAGAAGCAAAAAUACUUGAAAAUAUUGGUGAUGGAAUUGCAAAGAAAUUAGAUGAAAGGCUUGCACAAUACAUAGAAGAUGGUGGUGAUAUACAGUCUCUUCACAUUCGACCGGAUUUGCUAACUUUAUCAUCGCCAAAACGUAAAAGAAAUAAUAAACAAAAAGAAACCAGUAGUGACAUUAAUAAGUCACCUGAAUUGACCACACCUAUGUUUAGUCCUAAUGCCAAACAUUUAAAAACUGGCAGAAAAUACGUUCCAAAGUAUCGUUCUGGGGCUUAUGCUUUGAUCAUAACGCUUUAUGAAGAAAGUCAGAAGCCAACUUAUCUUGGUUACAUGGGAAAAACAGAUUUACAAGAAGCAUCGCAACCACUUUGUGAUAAGUCGUUUACAAUGUCAGAUGCUGGCUCCCACUACACAGCUUGGUCAUCUAUGGGAACUUUAGUCGAGAAAGGUUUCGUUGUCAAAAGAAGUAGUCCUGCAAAGUACUAUAUUACCGAUAAAGGUUGCGAACUGGCUCAUCAGUUGCUUAUGGGCAACGAAGGGAUUACCAAAAGUAACACAACAUCAAGUGUAGCUCAAAGCCCAAAACAUAAAGGUUAUAAGUCACGUGAAAAAAGAAGUUCAGUGCCUGAACCCGGAGAGGGAUUGUUGUCGGAACUCCGUGAUACGGUGAACUUAUUAGGUACUCCAAUUAGUCCAAAACAAAAAUAUGAAUCUGCUACGAUUACUAAUCCAACUGAAGUCUUUGAUACAAAUCGAAAAUUGGGGAGUCGUCAACCAAUUGGAAGUUCAGCUACCAAUCUUUUUUCACCUGGUAGUCAUUAUGUAAAGCUUCAGGAGAAAAUUCGAAAUUCCAAAAACGUUAAUGCUUCAAAUGUUCCUCAUGUUAAACUAAAUCAAAAUACAAAACAGACAAAGUCAACUGAGGAUGUCAGUGUUGCAAACAAAAUAACAAAAACUCUUGGUGGUACCAAUCCUGAUUUACAGCACACAAAAAAUUUCAACUAUUGGUAUGUGACAGACACUGAUGCUACAACGUUGUUAAAGAGUAAAGCACUUGUUACUAUUGAUGACAUCAUCGGUCUUGGUUUUCUUAUUAAAUCGAAACAAGCAGAUCUUGAAAGAUCUGGUGCAUUAUUUAAAAUAGAUGAGUCAAGGCAUGCAACAGACGGUUUUGUUUAUGCUUAUAUUGCUGAUAAAGAUGGACCAGAUGUUGCUCGACCACCUGAAUACUUAAAGUCACCCUCAAAAAGCUCUUCUACUGUUACGUCAGAAGGUUCAAAAAGGAAUCAUGCAUUUGCAUCUUCUUUACCAGUAGCAUGUACUGGAAUGUUAAAAGAAAAUCCAUUUAAAAAGAAAGACAAGGAAACAAUUUCAAGUUUAUCUGAUAGAAUUAUGGCUGCAACAUCAAGUUCUUCUAAUAUAUCAGAGGACAGCCCUCAAUAUACUACAAGUUUGACUGCAUCAGAUAUGAAACCUCUUUUCACACUAAACCCUAGUUUAUACGAUGUGAUAUUGUGUAUUGAUACCACUGAAACUACUGGUGGCGGUAAGAUGAAAAAAGAAAUGGCUGAUAAGCUGCUUAAAAGUGGAUUGACAAUUGACGUUCGCAAGCUUCAACUUGGAGAUUUUUUGUGGAUAGCUAAAGAAAAAUUUGGACAGCAACGCGAGUUACUGCUGGAUUUUAUUGUUGAGAGAAAGAGAAUGGAUGAUUUGGCUUCAAGUAUUGUGGAUGGAAGAUUUAAAGAACAAAAAUUUCGUCUCAAGAACUGCGGUUUGAAGAAAUUGAUAUAUUUGGUUGAAACUUACGGUUCAGCAAGUCAUUUUGCCGUGCCCGAAACUACUUUACGUCAGGCCAUUAUGAAUACUCAGGUUGUCGAUGGAUUGUUCGUCAAAGAAACUGCUGAUGUAUUUGAUUCUGUCAACUAUUUAAAGACGAUGACGCGCCGUCUUAUAAAGAUUUAUAAAGAUAAAAGCCUUCAUUGCUUGAAUAUGGAGUGCGUAAAAAAAUUAAAAGAAAAAGAUGAUUUUGAAAUGAUUAUUCAAAAUAAAGAACAAUACCUAAUAUCGUUUCAAGAAUUUACCACACAAACAGAAAAAAACAAGAUGUUAACAGUCCGUGAAAUGUUCGCAAAACAACUGAUGCAAAUCAAAGGUGUGUCAGCGGAAAGGGUGGUUGCUAUAGUAAACAAAUACCCUACACCCGCUUGUCUCCAGUUUCCUUACAGUGUCGUUGCUACACAUUUGAUGUGACGAGUUUUGAUGUUCUACGAAGCUUUUUUGAUGCAUUCAAUUUGUCUCCAGUCUACUUGAACUGUCGUUGCUACACAUUUGGUGUGACGAGUUAGGGCCAAUGUCAAAUUAGGCUACAUUACAAUCGCUAAAUUGGAUAAUGCAUAGAAAAGUGGGUGCGCCAAUCAGCAAGCAAGUUUUCACGUUGUUCAAUUCAUAAACCAAUCAAGAGAUUGUAUCUAUCUGGUAGUCAUGGACACCCGUUGCGAGGGAAACAAAUUUACCAAGUAAAGCGAUCAUGAAUUUUUCAUGGCUUAAUGAAAUAUGUUCAAUAAAAAUCAAACUGAAUAAUUAAUAUUUUGGUGUAAAAUUAAAUGAUGAUCUCCAUCGCAGAAGCUGUUUUUUCAUGAUAAAUAUUUGCUUUGUGUGUUAAAAAUGAUCUUGGAAGGAGAGUGUAACUUAAAGAAAAUAAAAUAUAGAAACGCUAAAGUAAAAAAAAAAACACAUUGGUGGUCGAAAAGUUAGAGAAGCCAUGAGUAUUCUUCAAAUUAUUUCGAAUACGAACUUCGAAAUAGGGCUCUCUGUUAUAUAUGGCAUAGGUGCUGUAGCAAGCAUAUGGGCUGCUAUACUGUCACCGCAUAUAUUUGACUGGAUAGGAGUGGAUGUGAAUAAAAGAAUCACAGGCAGAAACUGGCCACAACUAUUCUUGCUAUCGCUGGUGAUACAACCACUGACGUUCACAUUUUCUGCAAUUGCGCUGUGGUGGUAUCCAGUUGUGGCUAUAAUACCUGCGUUGCAUUUCUUAAUAACAUCUUUCUGCUUCAUUGUUAUCGAUUUCGUUCGAGAGGACGAGCCCUGGGAAAAAGGCUAUACUAGGUUGUUUUGAUAUGUGGAUUAAGGUUGUGAUUGGGUGCAAGCUCGACAUUCGAUGAGUUGUGAUUGAAUGACACUUAACUGGACAUUAUGCAAUUAGUACAAAAGAAUUUUAAAAAAAUGUUUAAAAGUGUGUAGAAUAUAUUGUGUAUUUUUAUUUGUAAAUAUAUGACCUUUUUAUUGGC
Hydractinia symbiolongicarpus is the source of this 4100-nucleotide RNA transcript. It is a transcript of the gene named crossover junction endonuclease MUS81-like, with no coding region annotated. The transcript is spliced from 24 exons. NCBI's taxonomy places the organism in Eukaryota, Metazoa, Cnidaria, Hydrozoa, Anthoathecata, Hydractiniidae. The record is from RefSeq and is a predicted model, not a curated record.